GACAGAGUCUUGCUCUGUUGCCCUGGCUGCAGUGCUGUGGCAUGAUCUCAGCUCACUGCAACCUCCGCCUCCUGGGUUCAAGGAAUUUGCUGGAAUUACAGGUACCUGCCACCAUGCUUGGCUAAUUUUGGUAUUUUUAGUAGAGACGGGGUUUCACCAUGUUGGCCAGGGUGGUCUCGAACUCCUGACCUCAGGCAGAUCACCUGAGGUCAGGUGUUCGAGACCAACCUGGCCAACAUGGUGAAAUCUUGUCUAACUAAAAAUACAAAAAUUAGCUGGGUGUGGUGGCACAUGCCUGUAAUCCCAGGUAUUUGGGAGGCUGAGGCAGGAUAAUCGUUUGAACCCGGGAGACAGAGGUUGCAGUGAGCCAAGAUCUUGCCACUGCACUCUAGCCUGGAUGACAGAGAAAGAUUCCGUCUCAAAAAAAAAAAAAAGAAAAGAAAAGCUUCACAUUCUUUCUUAAAAUGCUGUAGCAAUAUGUCAGCCUGUUUCUUUCAGAAGCCUUUUGUUAAAGGUUGAAGACGAUUAAAAAGAACAGAACAAAAUCAGAUUAUGUAUUUUGAUAGAUGUGAACAUAUAAAAAUUUUCUGAGCUUUUUUCCAAAAAUUUUUGAUGGCUGAUGUUCAUUUCCCUAUUAUAUUUACAAGUAGUACAUAUUUCAAAAA
RNAcentral lists this long non-coding RNA (665 nucleotides) under Homo sapiens (human). Its description in RNAcentral is "HSALNT0187288". Lineage: Eukaryota; Metazoa; Chordata; Mammalia; Primates; Hominidae. The record is from RNAcentral.